CAUCAGUCUUAGCUCAAUUUUCAUAUCAACCCUGAAGUAUGCAAACGAUAGAAAAUUUAGAGAUCAUACCUUGAAAUCCGGUUGUUUUAGUGAGCUAAACAGAUAGAUGAGUUAAAAUCAAGUAGGUUAGGUGAAGGAAUAACCGAAAUCAGUCAAGAAACAUGAGAAAAAUCGAGAGGCGAUUGUUUCAGAGGGUUUUCAGGUUUCUAAAGAAAACGUUUUUGUUAGUUGUCGAGUUAUAUAGUCUGCAACUCGAGACUUGGCGUCGAUCGAUGCGAUGGGCUCGUAAUCGAUUGACGUUCCCAAGAAUUUCUUUUAGUUUGUUGUUUUUUUUUGUUUUUAAUUUUAAAUUGAAAGCUAAUCCUAAAAUAUUGAAAUUAGUAUUGAGUUGCCUCCCAAUCAUCGCUUAUUUUAAGUCGUGAGUUUGAAUAUCAAACCAAAUAAAUCAGCCAUUUGGGAGAUUCAAACGCAAGGUUCGAGUGUCUGGAGUUUGUGUUUUGGCCCAAUAGUUCUUAACUCUUUUUCCAUUCACCGUAAAUUCAUCUCCUUCACCACUGAUCAGGUUAACAGCUCCGUAGGGUCUGACUUCUUUAACCGUAAAAGGACCUGACCAGCGAGAGCGAAGUUUCCCAGGAAAUAGUGUCAAUCGGGAAUUAUAAAGAAGCACUUGAUCAUUCGGUUCAAAAUGUCUAGAGAUGAUUUUCUUCUCAUCAUAGGCUUUCGUCCUUUCCUUGUAAAGCUUUGAGUUCUCAUAGGCGAGAUGUCUAAU
RNAcentral lists this long non-coding RNA (769 nucleotides) under Brassica rapa (field mustard). Its description in RNAcentral is "long non-coding RNA (BRAP_LNC002804)". Lineage: Eukaryota; Viridiplantae; Streptophyta; Magnoliopsida; Brassicales; Brassicaceae. The record is from RNAcentral.